GGGGUCGUAGCUCAGAGGCAGAGCGCGUUGUCCCGUAUGGGGCUCCGAGGUUGGAGGUUCGAAUCCUCCCGGCCCCA
This 77-nucleotide transfer RNA is filed under the name Archaeoglobus sulfaticallidus PM70-1. RNAcentral describes it as "tRNA-Und (NNN) (tRNA-Und-NNN-1-1)". It matches the Rfam family "tRNA". From Rfam's summary of the family: Transfer RNA (tRNA) molecules are approximately 80 nucleotides in length. Their secondary structure includes four short double-helical elements and three loops (D, anti-codon, and T loops). Lineage: Archaea; Methanobacteriati; Methanobacteriota; Archaeoglobi; Archaeoglobales; Archaeoglobaceae. The record is from Rfam by way of RNAcentral.